CAUGACUGGGGUGAAGUCGUAACAAGGUAACCGUAGGGGAACCUGCGGUUGGAUCACCUCCUUA
RNAcentral lists this ribosomal RNA (64 nucleotides) under Acinetobacter baumannii. Its description in RNAcentral is "partial 16S ribosomal RNA". It matches the Rfam family "Bacterial small subunit ribosomal RNA", at positions 1470 to 1533 of the family's 1533-position model. RNAcentral also lists the same sequence under 74 other names. The record is from RNAcentral. Lineage: Bacteria; Pseudomonadati; Pseudomonadota; Gammaproteobacteria; Moraxellales; Moraxellaceae.